GCUGGAAUCGCUAGUAAUCGCGGAUCAGAAUGCCGCGGUGAAUACGUUCCCGGGUCUUGUACACACCGCCCGUCACACCAUGGGAGUCGGAAAUGCCCGAAGUCGGUGACCGAACCGAAAGGAAGGAGCCGCCGAAGGCAGGUCUGAUAACUGGGGUGAAGUCGUAACAAGGUAGC
This 176-nucleotide ribosomal RNA is filed under the name uncultured bacterium. RNAcentral describes it as "partial 16S ribosomal RNA". It matches the Rfam family "Bacterial small subunit ribosomal RNA", at positions 1325 to 1500 of the family's 1533-position model. The record is from RNAcentral.